AGGGGAAUAUUGCACAAUGGGGGAAACCCUGAUGCAGCCAUGCCGCGUGUGUGAAGAAGGCCUUCGGGUUGUAAAGCACUUUCAGCGGGGAGGAAGGCGAUAAACUUAAUAAGUUUGUUGAUUGACGUUACCCGCAGAAGAAGCACCGGCUAACUCCGUGCCAGCAGCCGCGG
RNAcentral lists this ribosomal RNA (173 nucleotides) under uncultured Brenneria sp. RNAcentral's name for it is "partial 16S ribosomal RNA". It matches the Rfam family "Bacterial small subunit ribosomal RNA", at positions 355 to 520 of the family's 1533-position model. The record is from RNAcentral. Lineage: Bacteria; Pseudomonadati; Pseudomonadota; Gammaproteobacteria; Enterobacterales; Pectobacteriaceae.